This 2849-nucleotide unclassified non-coding RNA is filed under the name Hevea brasiliensis (rubber tree). The record is from RNAcentral. Lineage: Eukaryota; Viridiplantae; Streptophyta; Magnoliopsida; Malpighiales; Euphorbiaceae.
AAAGCAGCCAAUCUGUGAUCGCUCAUCAAAGCACCGUCCUUUCUAACAACCACCAAAAACAACCAGCUUCAACCUUCAAAGUUCAAACGCCCACUUGCUUUCAUCGCCGCUUGGCGGAGUUCCCGACGCUCUGCCCCUCUCUUUCCUCUUCUAUAGAAACCCCACUAAGACCCAGCCUUUCUCUUCACCGCCCUCUCUACAAAUCCCCUAAAACUAGAAGACCAGAGACGAGUGCAACAUAAAGAAAUGGCCUUGGCCACUCAACCAGCCGCCACCGCCACCACCAACCUCCUCAACAAGUCCUUCUUUUCCUCUAAACCCCAAUCUUCCACUUCCAUUCCAUUCCCUUCUGUAAAGCGUCGUUCUUUAGUUGUGCGCAACUCCGUCACGGUGGCGCCACCUUCUCCGACGAAGAUCGCCAAGGAGUGCAAGGUCAAGUCGGUGAAGGCGAGGCAAAUCAUUGACAGCCGAGGGAAUCCCACCGUCGAGGUUGAUCUCUUCACCGAUGAUCUUUACCGAUCCGCCGUCCCCAGUGGCGCCUCCACUGGGAUCUAUGAAGCUUUAGAGCUUAGAGAUGGGGACAAGAGUGUUUAUGGUGGUAAAGGAGUGCUUAAUGCUGUUAAAAACAUCAAUGACAUUUUGGGCCCUAAGCUAAUCGGCGUUGAUGUCAGGUAAUAGCCAACUUAACAAUUUUUAUACCUUUUAGUUACUGUGUUGACUUGUUUGCUAAUCAAGGUUAUUAGGGAAGUGCUUUAUAUUGCUUUCUAAUUAUUGAACGCAGUGCAAUGUCCAUUGACUGGUUAAUUGUAGAACGUGUAGAUAGAGCCCUUGUUGCCUUUUAUACGCUUGAAAAAUUUUCAAAUAUAUGUUAAGAAAAUAUUGUUGAAGUUGGGGAUGUUAUGAAAUCACAGCUAGGAAUGUUUUUGUUUUACUCAUGUCUGAAAAUUUCAAUGAAAUAAUAUUGGGGUAGCUGAGGUACAAAGUUGGCAGUGUUGAUCAUCCAGGCAGCUUGAAUCAUGUUUCAAAUCUUGUUUGCAGUCACAAAAAUGUUAAUUUGCGGAUAGAUACAGAGAGCCUGUCUUUUAAGUUCUAAUGGCGAUGCUUGUAAUAAAGUCAACCGUUUUGCUAGUUUGGAUGUAAACUAGGUCGUUUUAUUAAAGCACUAUGCCUCUCUUACACCUGAAACUAAAGGAAGGAGAGUACUAGUACCUCUCUUAUAGCAAGCCCCUCAUUAUACCUCUUUUACAGCAUUGCCCGUAGUAAGCUGUGAUGGUUUGUUUUUCUAAUUUAUGCUUGUGGGUAGAUUCUUUCAUAUAAGGUUAUAACUGUUGCUUUUAUGUUUCGUAAGAAACCAAGAUGAAGUGGAUGCUAUUAUGCUGGAUAUUGAUGGAACUCCAAACAAGUCGAAACUUGGAGCUAAUGCUAUCCUUGGGGUAUCUCUGAGCAUUUGUCGAGCAGGUGCUGGAGCAAAAGCAGUGCCCUUGUACAAGCACAUUCAGGAAAUUUCAGGAACAAAGGAGCUUGUCAUGCCAGUUCCUGCUUUUAAUGUCAUAAAUGGAGGCAGUCAUGCUGGAAAUAAUUUAGCUAUGCAAGAAUUUAUGAUACUGCCAGUAGGUGCAACCUCAUUUGCCGAGGCCCUCCGCAUGGGUAGUGAAGUUUAUCAUACGCUGAAGGGAAUUAUCAAGGCUAAAUAUGGACAGGAUGCUUGCAAUGUUGGAGACGAAGGGGGAUUUGCUCCUAAUGUGCAGGAUAAUAGGGAGGGACUAGUUUUGCUUAUGGAAGCAAUUGAAAAGGCUGGUUACACAGGGAAGGUAUGCUGCAUUUAAUUUCUUUACCCCUGAAAUUGAAACUUUCACUUGUACUAAAUGUGGACUCAAAGCAAUGAUGCAGAUCAAAAUUGGAAUGGAUGUUGCUGCCUCAGAAUUUCUCACAAAGGAUGGAAAAUAUGAUUUGAACUUCAAGAAACAACCAAAUGAUGGGGCUCAUGUGCUCUCAGCUCAGAGCCUUGGUGAGCUCUACAAGGACUUUGUCAAGGAGUUCCCUAUUGUGUCCAUUGAAGACCCUUUUGACCAGGAUGAUUGGAACUCAUGGGCUUCACUACAGUCUUCAGUUGAUAUCCAACUUGUAGGGGAUGAUUUGUUGGUCACAAACCCAAAGAGAAUUGCUGAAGCAAUUCAGAAAAAGGCUUGCAAUGGUUUACUUCUCAAGGUUAACCAGAUUGGCACAGUGACCGAGUCCAUUAGAGCAGCACUCGACUCAAAAGCUGCAGGUUGGGGUGUGAUGGUCAGCCACCGAAGUGGUGAAACCGAGGAUAACUUUAUUGCCGAUCUUUCUGUUGGCUUGGCUAGCGGACAGAUCAAGACUGGAGCUCCUUGCAGAAGUGAGCGAUUGGCCAAGUAUAAUCAGCUUCUGCGGAUUGAAGAGGAACUUGGAAAUGUUCAUUAUGCCGGUGAAGCUUUCAGAUCCCCUUAGGACAGAGGGGAGCUCAGUUUCAUGGCAUAGGAUAUUCACCUUGGAGAAUUUACAAAAAAUUUUGGCAGAACCAGGCAACAUAGAUGUGAAUUAAAAACACAAUUAUCUAAUUACUUUGGCAUUAGAAACCACAUUUUCUCAAAAUCUUGAAAGAAGUAAGUGUGCCUCUGAAUAAGGAAGUCUGAAUCUGAAUGGUGUUUCCAGAUCUGUGCCACUACUUGUUGUAAUUUUAUGUACCCUUAUAUAAUGAGAAUGGAUUUGGCAAAUGGGAACUCAUUUUCAAUUACAUUGAAUUUGCGUUGGAUUAAUUAUAUGCUGCUGAGUUCAAGGUACAGUGUUUUUGGUGUGAUAACAAAAUAAUGGGGAAGCCAAAAAAU